GAUGAACGCUGACAGAAUGCUUAACACAUGCAAGUCUACUUGAACUUCGGUUUGGGUGGCGGACGGGUGAGUCACGCGUAAAGAACUUGCCUCACAGUUAGGGACAACAUUUGGAAACGAAUGCUAAUACCUGAUAUUAUGAUUUUAGGGCAUCCUAGGAUUAUGAAAGCUAUAUGUGCUGUGAGAGAGCUUUGCGUCCCAUUAGCUAGUUGGAGAGGUAACGGCUCACCAAGGCGAUGAUGGGUAGCCGGCCUGAGAGGGUGAACGGCCACAAGGGGACUGAGACACGGCCCUUACUCCUACGGGAGGCAGCAGUGGGGAAUAUUGGACAAUGGACCAAAAGUCUGAUCCAGCAAUUCUGUGUGCACGAUGACGUUUUUCGGAAUGUAAAGUGCUUUCAGUUGGGAAGAAAAAAAUGACGGUACCAACAGAAGAAGUGACGGCUAAAUACGUG
Molecule: ribosomal RNA, 454 nt
Filed under: uncultured bacterium
Lineage: Bacteria
Description: partial 16S ribosomal RNA
Rfam family: Bacterial small subunit ribosomal RNA
Source: RNAcentral